AGCUUUGCACAGUGGUGAUAUUGUAGCCAAUGAGGUUUAUCCAAGGUGAGAUUACUGCAAAUCGAAAACUCUUCCUAGUACCCCACUGUGAUGGCUUGACGUAUAGUUAGCAUUGGCAAUUUUUGACAGUUUCUAUGGAGA
Molecule: small nuclear RNA, 141 nt
Filed under: Phascolarctos cinereus (koala)
Lineage: Eukaryota; Metazoa; Chordata; Mammalia; Diprotodontia; Phascolarctidae
Description: U4 spliceosomal RNA (ENSPCIG00000032439.1)
Rfam family: U4 spliceosomal RNA
About the family: U4 small nuclear RNA (U4 snRNA) is a component of the major U2-dependent spliceosome.
Source: Rfam by way of RNAcentral